RNAcentral lists this ribosomal RNA (341 nucleotides) under Cortinarius rubellus. Its description in RNAcentral is "SSU rRNA". It matches the Rfam family "Eukaryotic small subunit ribosomal RNA", at positions 665 to 1010 of the family's 1831-position model. Lineage: Eukaryota; Fungi; Basidiomycota; Agaricomycetes; Agaricales; Cortinariaceae. The record is from RNAcentral.
UAACAGCAUGUACUGUCUGGCUGGGUCUUACCUCUUGGUGAGCCGGCGUGCCCUUUAUUGGUGUGCAUCGGGGAACCAGGACUUUUACCUUGAGAAAAUUGGAGUGUUCAAAGCAGGCUUAUGCCCGAAUACAUUAGCAUGGAAUAAUAAAAUAGGACGUGCGGUUCUAUUUUGUUGGUUUCUAGAGUCGCCGUAAUGAUUAAUAGGGAUAGUUGGGGGCAUUGGUAUUGAGUCGCUAGAGGUGAAAUUCUUAGAUUGACUCAAGACCAACUAUUGCGAAAGCAUUUGCCAAGGAUGUUUUCAUUAAUCAAGAACGAAGGUUAGGGGAUCGAAAACGAUCA